RNAcentral lists this ribosomal RNA (460 nucleotides) under uncultured bacterium. RNAcentral describes it as "partial 16S ribosomal RNA". It matches the Rfam family "Bacterial small subunit ribosomal RNA", at positions 338 to 795 of the family's 1533-position model. The record is from RNAcentral.
CCUACGGGCGGCAGCAGUGAGGAAUAUUGGUCAAUGGGCGCGAGCCUGAACCAGCCAAGUAGCGUGAAGGAUGACUGCCCUACGGGUUGUAAACUUCUUUUAUAAAGGAAUAAAGUGCGGCACGUGUGCCUUUUUGUAUGUACUUUAUGAAUAAGGAUCGGCUAACUCCGUGCCAGCAGCCGCGGUAAUACGGAGGAUCCGAGCGUUAUCCGGAUUUAUUGGGGUUAAAGGGAGCGGAGAUGGGUUGUUAAGUCAGUUGUGAAAGUUUGCGGCUCAACCGUAAAAUUGCAAUUGAUACUGGAAGUCUUGAGUACAGUUGAGGCAGGCGGAAUUCGUGGUGUAGCGGUGAAAUGCAUAGAUAUCACGAGGAACUCCGAUUGCGAAGGCAGCCUACUAAGCUGCCACUGACAUUGAGGCUCGAAGGUGUGGGUAUCAAACAGGAUUAGAUACCCCUGUAGUC